GACGAACGCUGGCGGCGUGCCUAAUACAUGCAAGUCGAACGAGAGCGACCGGUGCUUGCACUGGUCAAUCUAGUGGCGAACGGGUGAGUAACACGUGGGUAACCUGCCCAUCAGAGGGGGAUAACAUCCGGAAACGGAUGCUAAAACCGCAUGGGUCUUCGAACCGCAUGGUUUGAAGAGGAAAAGAGGCGCAAGCUUCUGCUGAUGGAUGGACCCGCGGUGCAUUAGCUAGUUGGUGAGGUAACGGCUCACCAAGGCCGUGAUGCAUAGCCGACCUGAGAGGGUGAUCGGCCACAUUGGGACUGAGACACGGCCCAAACUCCUACGGGAGGCAGCAGUAGGGAAUCUUCCGCAAUGGACGCAAGUCUGACGGAGCAACGCCGCGUGAGUGAAGAAGGUUUUCGGAUCGUAAAACUCUGUUGUUAGAGAAGAACAAGUGCUAGAGUAACUGUUAGCGCCUUGACGGUAUCUAACCAGAAAGCCACGGCUAACUACGUG
RNAcentral lists this ribosomal RNA (498 nucleotides) under uncultured bacterium. Its description in RNAcentral is "partial 16S ribosomal RNA". It matches the Rfam family "Bacterial small subunit ribosomal RNA", at positions 28 to 507 of the family's 1533-position model. The record is from RNAcentral.